This 649-nucleotide ribosomal RNA is filed under the name Gordonia sp. JSX2. RNAcentral describes it as "bacterial SSU rRNA". It matches the Rfam family "Bacterial small subunit ribosomal RNA", at positions 80 to 743 of the family's 1533-position model. The record is from RNAcentral. Lineage: Bacteria; Bacillati; Actinomycetota; Actinomycetes; Mycobacteriales; Gordoniaceae.
UCGGGGGUACUCGAGUGGCGAACGGGUGAGUAACACGUGGGUGAUCUGCCCCUGACUUUGGGAUAAGCCUGGGAAACUGGGUCUAAUACCGGAUAUGACCAAUGGUUGCAUGACUGUUGGUGGAAAGCCUUGUGCGGUUGGGGAUGGGCCCGCGGCCUAUCAGCUUGUUGGUGGGGUAAUGGCCUACCAAGGCGACGACGGGUAGCCGACCUGAGAGGGUGAUCGGCCACACUGGGACUGAGACACGGCCCAGACUCCUACGGGAGGCAGCAGUGGGGAAUAUUGCACAAUGGGCGCAAGCCUGAUGCAGCGACGCCGCGUGAGGGAUGACGGCCUUCGGGUUGUAAACCUCUUUCACCAGGGACGAAGCUUUUGUGACGGUACCUGGAGAAGAAGCACCGGCCAACUACGUGCCAGCAGCCGCGGUAAUACGUAGGGUGCGAGCGUUGUCCGGAAUUACUGGGCGUAAAGAGCUCGUAGGCGGUUUGUCGCGUCGUCUGUGAAAUUCUGCAACUCAAUUGCAGGCGUGCAGGCGAUACGGGCAGACUUGAGUACUACAGGGGAGACUGGAAUUCCUGGUGUAGCGGUGAAAUGCGCAGAUAUCAGGAGGAACACCGGUGGCGAAGGCGGGUCUCUGGGUAGUAACUGA